CCUACGGGGGGCUGCAGUGGGGAAUAUUCCGCAAUGGACGAAAGUCUGACGGAGCAACGCCGCGUGAGUGAUGAAGGUUUUCGGACUGUAAAGCUCUGUUGUUUAGGACGAAAGUGCCUGCUGCGAACAGUUGCAGGUAUUGACGGUACUGAACGAGGAAGCCACGGCUAACUACGUGCCAGCAGCCGCGGUAAUACGUAGGUGGCAAGCGUUGUCCGGAAUUAUUGGGCGUAAAGAGCAUGUAGGCGGGAAUCUAAGUCUGUUGUGAAAAUGCGGGGCUCAACCCCGUAUGGCGAUGGAAACUGGAUUUCUUGAGUGCAGGAGAGGAAAGGGGAAUUCCCAGUGUAGCGGUGAAAUGCGUAGAUAUUGGGAGGAACACCAGUGGCGAAGGCGCCUUUCUGGACUGUGUCUGACGCUGAGAUGCGAAAGCCAGGGUAGCGAACGGGCUUAGAUACCCCAGUAGUC
RNAcentral lists this ribosomal RNA (465 nucleotides) under uncultured Veillonellaceae bacterium. RNAcentral's name for it is "bacterial SSU rRNA". It matches the Rfam family "Bacterial small subunit ribosomal RNA", at positions 338 to 795 of the family's 1533-position model. The record is from RNAcentral. Lineage: Bacteria; Bacillati; Bacillota; Negativicutes; Veillonellales; Veillonellaceae.